UGGGGAAUCUUGCACAAUGGAGGAAACUCUGAUGCAGCGACGCCGCGUGAGCGAAGAAGCCUUUCGGGGUGUAAAGCUCUUACGCCAGGGACGAUAAUGACGGUACCUGGAGAAGCAGCUGCGGCUAACUACGUGCCAGCAGCCGCGGUAAUACGUAGGCAGCAAGCGUUGUUCGGAAUUACUGGGCGUAAAGGGUGCGUAGGCGGCGCUCUAAGUUUGGUGUGAAAUCUCCCGGCUUAACUGGGAGGGUGCACUGAAAACUGGGGCGCUCGAUUAUGGGAGAGGAAAGCGGAAUUCCUGGUGUGGCGGUGAGAUGCGUAGAGAUCAGGAGGAACACCUGCGGUGCAGACGGCUUUCUGGACCAUCACUGACGCUGAGGCACGAAAGCGUGGGUAGCAAACA
RNAcentral lists this ribosomal RNA (402 nucleotides) under uncultured bacterium. Its description in RNAcentral is "bacterial SSU rRNA". It matches the Rfam family "Bacterial small subunit ribosomal RNA", at positions 355 to 774 of the family's 1533-position model. The record is from RNAcentral.